Molecule: ribosomal RNA, 232 nt
Filed under: uncultured bacterium
Lineage: Bacteria
Description: partial 16S ribosomal RNA
Rfam family: Bacterial small subunit ribosomal RNA
Source: RNAcentral
CGGACGGGUGAGUAAUGUCUGGGAAACUGCCCGAUGGAGGGGGAUAACUACUGGAAACGGUAGCUAUUACCGCAUAACGUCGCAAGACCAAAGAGGGGGACCUUAGGGCCUCUUGCCAUCGGAUGUGCCCAGAUGGGAUUAGCUAGUAGGUGGGGUAACGGCUCACCUAGGCGACGAUCCCUAGCUGGUCUGAGAGGAUGACCAGCCACACUGGAACUGAGACACGGUCCAG